GACGAACGCUGGCGGCGUGCUUAAUACAUGCAAGUAGAACGCUGAAGCGAGGAGCUUGCUCUUCUUGGAUGAGUUGCGAACGGGUGAGUAAUGCGAAGGUAACCUGCCUUGUAGCGGGGGCUGACUAUUGGAAACGAUAGCUCAUAUAGCAUAACAAUGGAUGAGAGAUGUCAUUUAUUUGAUCGGGGCAAUUGCUCCACUACUAGAUGGAUCUGCGUUGUAUUAGCUAGUGGGUGAGGUAACGGCUCACCUAGGCGACGGUACAUAGCCGACCUGAAAGGGUGAACGACCACACUGGGACUGGGACACGGCCCAGACUCCUACGGGAGGCAGCAGUAGGGAAUCUUCGGCAAUUGGGGCAACCCUGACUGAACAACGCCGCGUGAGUGAAGAAGGUCUUCGGAGCGUAAAGCUCUGUUGUAAGUCGAGAACAUCUGUGAGGGUAGAAAGUUCACACUAUGACGGUAGCUUACCAAAAAGGGACGGCUAACUACGUG
RNAcentral lists this ribosomal RNA (497 nucleotides) under uncultured bacterium. Its description in RNAcentral is "partial 16S ribosomal RNA". It matches the Rfam family "Bacterial small subunit ribosomal RNA", at positions 28 to 507 of the family's 1533-position model. The record is from RNAcentral.